CAAAGGGGCGCGGAGAGGAAGGAGCCACCGUACCUUCCGAUCAACCGCUGGCCCCAGAGCCCCAAGCCCCAAGCCCGGAGCCAGAGCCCGAGCAGGAGACCUGGCGCGGCUGCUCGCCCGGCUCUCUGCUGGCCGCUGACUAAGGCCGGGGCAGCCCGUGGUCCCUUGUCUCCCCGCGGCUGCCCGUGACAGGAGCCGGGGAAGCAGACGAGGGGCAGCCAGGGAUGGGAAAACCAGAUGGCUCCAUCCCUCCUCCCUCCUCCUCCAUCCCUCCCUCCGGGUGCCCGCGGGCCUGGCCGCCCUCCGCAGGGGCCCGGGGAGGCCGCGGGCCCCGCUCGUCCGGGCUCACCCCAGGGAAAGGGUUGCCUUUGUCUAAAGGUCACCACCCGAGCGCGGUGCCCGGGCUGGGCCUGGUGCCUCCCAUUCCCAGGCCGAGGGGGUAGAGAUGGGGGGCCGCCCCAAAUCUCGGGAGGUGACAGGGCCUGCCGGAGGCCCCGUUUCUUCGCGGCACCCCCGGCAGGGAUUUGGGGAGGGGGCGCAGAGGACGGCGAGAGGGGGAGAUGAAGGCUCGCCACCUCCGGCCGAGAUAGCACCAACCGCUGCCCCAUUGCCCUCUUCUUCUCCGAAAGGCGGGGAGCAGGCCCCGACUCGCAGGUAGAGAGAGUUAAGAGAUUUAAAGAGAAAUUGCUACAUUGUGAGAAACUCACCCUGAUGUUUGAGCAGCCGUCGGCGCGGGGUCUCCGAGACGGCCCCGCACGGGCUGCAAAGGGAGGACCCAGAAGGGGCCGACCG
Long non-coding RNA from Mustela lutreola (European mink), 792 nucleotides. RefSeq lists it as uncharacterized. The transcript has 3 exons. NCBI's taxonomy places the organism in Eukaryota, Metazoa, Chordata, Mammalia, Carnivora, Mustelidae. The record is from RefSeq and is a predicted model, not a curated record.